Molecule: ribosomal RNA, 253 nt
Filed under: uncultured bacterium
Lineage: Bacteria
Description: partial 16S ribosomal RNA
Rfam family: Bacterial small subunit ribosomal RNA
Source: RNAcentral
UACAGAGGUCUCAAGCGUUGUUCGGAUUCAUUGGGCGUAAAGGGUGCGUAGGCGGCGCGGUAAGUCGGGUGUGAACUCUCGGAGCUUAACUCCGAAACUGCAUUCGAUACUGCCGUGCUUGAGGACUGGAGAGGAGACUGGAAUUUACGGUGUAGCGGUGAAAUGCGUAGAUAUCGUAAGGAAGACCAGUGGCGAAGGCGGGUCUCUGGACAGUUCCUGACGCUGAGGCACGAAGGCCAGGGGAGCAAACGGG